UGGAACGCAGCGGUCCCUUUGGAU
This 24-nucleotide non-coding RNA is filed under the name Cricetulus griseus (Chinese hamster). The record is from RNAcentral. Lineage: Eukaryota; Metazoa; Chordata; Mammalia; Rodentia; Cricetidae.